This 71-nucleotide transfer RNA is filed under the name Erysiphe pisi. RNAcentral's name for it is "tRNA-Arg". It matches the Rfam family "tRNA". From Rfam's summary of the family: Transfer RNA (tRNA) molecules are approximately 80 nucleotides in length. Their secondary structure includes four short double-helical elements and three loops (D, anti-codon, and T loops). Further hydrogen bonds mediate the characteristic L-shaped molecular structure. tRNAs have two regions of fundamental functional importance: the anti-codon, which is responsible for specific mRNA codon recognition, and the 3' end, to which the tRNAs corresponding amino acid is attached (by aminoacyl-tRNA synthetases). tRNAs cope with the degeneracy of the genetic code in two manners: having more than one tRNA (with a specific anti-codon) for a particular amino acid; and 'wobble' base-pairing, i.e. permitting non-standard base-pairing at the 3rd anti-codon position. Lineage: Eukaryota; Fungi; Ascomycota; Leotiomycetes; Helotiales; Erysiphaceae. RNAcentral also lists the same sequence under 6 other names. The record is from RNAcentral.
AGCAUGUUGGCUUAAUGGUAAAGCAUUAUAUUACGGCUAUAAUCAUAGGAGUUCAAGUCUCUUACAUGUUU